GAUUAACGCUGGCGGUAUGCCUAACACAUGCAAGUCGAACGGAAUACUCGAAAAGAGAAUCUCACACUAGUGAGAGGUUCUCCAACCGAGUAUUUAGUGGCGGACGGGUGAGUAACACGUUGGAACCUGCCCCGAAGUGGGGAAGUAACUGCUCGAAAGAGUAGCUAAUACCCCACUAGUAUCCGGUUUAUCCGGAUUAAAGAUUUAUUCGCUUCGGGAGGGGCCUGCGUCUGAUUAGCUUGUUGGUGAGGUAAAAGACUCACCAAGGCGACGAUCAGUAGCUGGUUCGAGAGGAUGACCAGCCACACUGGGACUGAGAUACGGCCCAGACUCCUACGGGAGGCAGCAGUGAGGAAUCUUCCACAAUGGACGAAAGUCUGAUGGAGCAAUACCGCGUGCAGGACGACGCUUUUCGGAGUGUAAACUGCUUUUGUCGUCGAAGAUUAUGACUGUAGACGAAGAAUAAGGACCGGCUAACUACGUGCCAGCAGCCGCGGUAA
Molecule: ribosomal RNA, 500 nt
Filed under: uncultured bacterium
Lineage: Bacteria
Description: bacterial SSU rRNA
Rfam family: Bacterial small subunit ribosomal RNA
Source: RNAcentral